Molecule: transfer RNA, 83 nt
Filed under: Oryctolagus cuniculus (rabbit)
Lineage: Eukaryota; Metazoa; Chordata; Mammalia; Lagomorpha; Leporidae
Rfam family: tRNA
About the family: Transfer RNA (tRNA) molecules are approximately 80 nucleotides in length. Their secondary structure includes four short double-helical elements and three loops (D, anti-codon, and T loops). Further hydrogen bonds mediate the characteristic L-shaped molecular structure. tRNAs have two regions of fundamental functional importance: the anti-codon, which is responsible for specific mRNA codon recognition, and the 3' end, to which the tRNAs corresponding amino acid is attached (by aminoacyl-tRNA synthetases). tRNAs cope with the degeneracy of the genetic code in two manners: having more than one tRNA (with a specific anti-codon) for a particular amino acid; and 'wobble' base-pairing, i.e. permitting non-standard base-pairing at the 3rd anti-codon position.
Source: Rfam by way of RNAcentral
GGCGCUGUGGUGCAGCAGGUCAAUGCACUGGCCUGAAGUGCCAGCAUCCCAUAUGGGCCCAAGUUCUAAUCCUGGCUGCUCCU